RNAcentral lists this ribosomal RNA (870 nucleotides) under uncultured archaeon. RNAcentral's name for it is "bacterial SSU rRNA". It matches the Rfam family "Archaeal small subunit ribosomal RNA", at positions 4 to 882 of the family's 1478-position model. The record is from RNAcentral.
CUGGUUGAUCCUGCCAGACCCGACUGCUAUCGGAUUGGGACUAAGCCAUGCGAGUCAACUCCGCAAGGGGUGGCGCACGGCUCAGUAACACGUAGUCAACCUACCCUGGGGACGGGGAUAACCUCGGGAAACUGAGGCUAAACCCCGAUGGGCCAUGGCUCCUGGAAUGGGCUAUGGCUGAAAUCUACAUGGCCCCAGGAUGGGACUGCGGCCGAUCAGGUUGUUGGUGGGGUAAUGGCCCACCAAGCCUAUAACCGGUGCGGGCUCUGAGAGGAGGAGCCCGGAGAUGGGCACUGAGACAAGGGCCCAGGUCCUAUGGGGCGCAGCAGGCGCGAAACCUCCGCAAUGGGCGAAAGCCCGACGGGGUCAGUCCGAGUGGUUCCCGCUGAGGGAACCUUUUGCCAGCUGUAAACAGGCUGGCGAAUAAGGGGUGGGCAAGUUUGGUGUCAGCCGCCGCGGUAAUACCAGCACCCCGAGUGGUCGGGACGAUUAUUGGGCCUAAAGCAUCCGUAGCCGGCCCAGUAAGUCCUCCGUUAAAUCCAACGGCUCAACCGUUGGGCUGCGGGGGAUACUGCUGGGCUAGGGGACGAGAGAGGCGAGGGGUAUUCCCGGGGUAGGGGUAAAAUCCACUGAUCCCGGGAGGACCACCAGUGGCGAAGGCGCCUCGCUAGAACGUGCCCGACGGUGAGGGAUGAAAGCUGGGGGAGCGAACCGGAUUAGAUACCCGGGUAGUCCCAGCCGUAAACGAUGUAGGCUCGGUGUUGGGCUGCCUCAGUGGCAGCCCAGUGCCGCAGGGAAGCCGUUAAGCCUACCGCCUGGGGAGUACGGCCGCAAGGCUGAAACUUAAAGGAAUUGGCGGGGGAGCACCAC